AGAGUUUGAUCCUGGCUCAGAGCGAACGCUGGCGGCGUGCUUAACACAUGCAAGUCGAACGCGCAGCAUUCUGUAGCAAUACAGGGUGUGGGCGCGUGGCGAACGGGUGCGUAACACGUGGAUAACCUUCCUUCAGGUGGGGAAUAACCCAGUGAAAAUUGGGCUAAUACCGCAUAACAUGACGAUGGCACAUGCUGUUGUCUUCAAAGGCGCAAGUCGCCAGAAGAGGGAUCCGCGGCCGAUUAGCUUGUUGGCGAGGUAAUGGCUCACCAAGGCAUUGAUCGGUAGCCGGACUGAGAGGUUGACCGGCCACACUGGAACUGAGACACGGUCCAGACUCCUACGGGAGGCAGCAGUGGGGAAUCUUGCACAAUGGACGAAAGUCUGAUGCAGCAACGCCGCGUGGGGGAGGAAGCUUCUCGGAGUGUAAACCCCUUUCGACCCG
RNAcentral lists this ribosomal RNA (445 nucleotides) under uncultured bacterium. RNAcentral's name for it is "bacterial SSU rRNA". It matches the Rfam family "Bacterial small subunit ribosomal RNA", at positions 8 to 443 of the family's 1533-position model. The record is from RNAcentral.